This 440-nucleotide ribosomal RNA is filed under the name uncultured bacterium. RNAcentral's name for it is "partial 16S ribosomal RNA". It matches the Rfam family "Bacterial small subunit ribosomal RNA", at positions 338 to 795 of the family's 1533-position model. The record is from RNAcentral.
CCUACGGGCGGCAGCAGUGGGGAAUAUUGCACAAUGGGGGGAACCCUGAUGCAGCGACGCCGCGUGAGUGAAGAAGUAUUUCGGUAUGUAAAGCUCUAUCAGCAGGGAAGAAAAUGACGGUACCUGACUAAGAAGCCCCGGCUAACUACGUGCCAGCAGCCGCGGUAAUACGUAGGGGGCAAGCGUUAUCCGGAUUUACUGGGUGUAAAGGGAGCGUAGACGGUUAUGCAAGUCUGAAGUGAAAGCCUGAGGCUCAACCAUGGAACUGCUUUGGAAACUGUAAAACUGGAGUGCAGGAGAGGUAAGCGGAAUUCCUAGUGUAGCGGUGAAAUGCGUAGAUAUUAGGAAGAACACCAGUUGCGAAGGCGGCUUACUGGACUGCAACUGACGUUGUUGCUCGAAGGCGUGGGGAGCAAACAGGAUUAGAUACCCUUGUAGUC